UGCAGUGAGCUGAGAUCAGGCCACUGCACUCUAGCCUGGGUGACAGAGUGAGAUUCCAUCUCAAAAAAAAAAAAAAAAAAAAGCAAAUAUGUGUGUGGCAAAACAGGGAUUUGAAACCCUGGGCCAACUGCAAGCUGGAACUGGAAUCAGGCCCUCUGGGAGAAGGGAGCCUGAGGGAAGGCCCCAGUUUGCACUGCAGUGGGGAUUGAAGGACUGAGAGGUGUAUGGCCUGUGAGACAAAGGGGUCAGGGGAGGGUGGGGUGGCCUUUGGAACUCUUGCCCACAGAACUGUGGUGAGCAAUUCUAAGUUGUUUCUGGGCCAAAUAGAAAAGGAGGAUGGAAGAAUUCAAUUCUGCCAAAAAAAGCUAUGAACACCAGACCCACAAUCGUAGAAGCACCCGCUGGGCCCUCUGCUCUCCCAAUCUAGCCUUCCAUCUGCACUCCAGUGCACCUUGGCUUCAUGCCCUGGACCCCCACCUAACACUGAAGGCAUUACCUUUUCCUUUGUUGCCCCACUUUGUCUACAAAGAGGAAACCACAGCCAAAGGGAGCACAGGCCUCACUGGAGCUUCAGGCCUCUCCCUCUUUAACACUCCCAUGGCUGACCAUGCUUUUAGAAAGAGAGUGAGAGACUCAGGGCCUGAGAAGGCAUUUCUUUUUUUCCUUUUCCUACCUGACUUUUUUUUUUUUUUUAGUUUUUUGGUGCCAUGACUCGGAUGUGAACCUCCUACCUGGCUUGUAAAUGAAAGUUUGUGAAAGUCCUUCAAGGAGAUAUAAGUCAAAUGGUAAAAUAACUAUUUCCUAUGCUCACCAUUUAUCAUGUGGGUCAAGAAUUUGGUCAGGUUAUAACAGGGAUGGUUUGUGUCUGCUUCAUAGUGUCUGAGGCAUCAGCUAGAAGAUUCAAAGGUUAACAGCUAGGGGCUGAAAUCAUCUGAAAGCUUGCUAACUCACAUGCCUGGCGGGCAAAAUCCACAUACAAUGCUAUCCACAGAUCUUAAAUGUAAUUUUCUGGAUUUUGACAGACAUAUAAACCUAUAAAUUGUGACAUUUAAAAACCA
This is a long non-coding RNA of Cebus imitator (Panamanian white-faced capuchin), 1058 nucleotides long. RefSeq lists it as uncharacterized. The transcript has 2 exons. Lineage: Eukaryota; Metazoa; Chordata; Mammalia; Primates; Cebidae. The record is from RefSeq and is a predicted model, not a curated record.